Molecule: ribosomal RNA, 253 nt
Filed under: uncultured bacterium
Lineage: Bacteria
Description: partial 16S ribosomal RNA
Rfam family: Bacterial small subunit ribosomal RNA
Source: RNAcentral
GACGAACAGAGCGAACGUUGUUCGGAAUCACUGGGCUUAAAGGGCGCGUAGGCGGGCCGCCAAGUCCGUGGUGAAAUCCCCCGGCUCAACCGGGGAAGUGCCUCGGAUACUGGCGGCCUCGAGGGGGGUAGGGGCGUGCGGAACUUCCGGUGGAGCGGUGAAAUGCGUAGAUAUCGGAAGGAACACCGGUGGCGAAAGCGGCGCGCUGGACCCCAUCUGACGCUGAGGCGCGAAAGCCAGGGGAGCAAACGGG